Molecule: long non-coding RNA, 673 nt
Filed under: Bos indicus x Bos taurus (hybrid cattle)
Lineage: Eukaryota; Metazoa; Chordata; Mammalia; Artiodactyla; Bovidae
Description: lncRNA (ENSBIXG00000016801.1)
Source: RNAcentral
AAUGAUGUCAGAAGCCUGGAGGAACACCCGAGAGAUGGCGCCGGCGACCACUGCUGCAUGAUUCCUGUGACCGUCCCUGAGCUCUUGAAGGCCCAGAUGUUGACCUUGCUGGGAAAACUGCGGAUGCAGACGAUGCUGUUUCAUUCUUCGAGGCACCUCUUACGGUCACUGGCAUCUUGAAUGGUGCUGUGUAUACUCACCUGCCAAUCCCUGUGGUCUGUGCAGCCAGCUGGCUGUAGCCAGUGUUGCGGGGUGAGAGUCAGAGGUGGGGGGGAAAGGAAAUAGAGGCUGAGGUCCCUGUGUGGAACUGGCCAGGGAUUGUUCCUGUGGACUGGGGCUGCCAAACUGACCUGCUUUGUCUUUCCAUGGGUGACUCAAUCCCGGCACACCAUCAGCUCUCAGGCAUCUUCAUGGGCUUUAUUCACUCCUGGCAGGACAGUCUACAUUAUGAAGCCCAGUGGAAAACAGAAACAGGAGACCCCAUGUUCAAAAUUAUUAAGAAUUUCAAGAUGGCGUCAGUAGAACACUGAAUCACGUGGGGAGGACAUUUCUGAGCACAGGACCCUGUGCACACAGCCACGUGUACAGGGCUCACAGCCAUGAAGCUGGUUUUGACUCUUGGCCCUGCCUGUCUCCACCUGGACACCUGAAUAAACUCUGAAAACCUCAGUCA